This 512-nucleotide ribosomal RNA is filed under the name uncultured bacterium. RNAcentral's name for it is "bacterial SSU rRNA". It matches the Rfam family "Bacterial small subunit ribosomal RNA", at positions 501 to 1016 of the family's 1533-position model. The record is from RNAcentral.
CUACGUGCCAGCAGCCGCGGUAAUACGGAAGGUCCAGGCGUUAUCCGGAUUUAUUGGGUUUAAAGGGAGCGUAGGCGGAUUGUUAAGUCAGCGGUUAAAGGGUGUGGCUCAACCAUGCAUUGCCGUUGAAACUGGCGAUCUUGAGUGCAGACAUGGAUGCCGGAAUUCGUGGUGUAGCGGUGAAAUGCUUAGAUAUCACGAAGAACUCCGAUCGCGAAGGCAGGUGUCCGGGCUGCAACUGACGCUGAGGCUCGAAAGUGUGGGUAUCAAACAGGAUUAGAUACCCUGGUAGUCCACACAGUAAACGAUGUAUACUCGCGGUUUGCGAUAGACAGUAAGCCGCCAAGCGAAAGCAUUAAGUAUACCACCUGGGGAGUACGCCGGCAACGGUGAAACUCAAAGGAAUUGACGGGGGCCCGCACAAGCGGAGGAACAUGUGGUUUAAUUCGAAGCAACGCGAAGAACCUUACCAGGUCUUGACAUCCCUCKACCUCUCUAGAGAUAGAGAUUUC